UGUAAGUGCAGUAGAUUUCAACGCGUUAUUUUAAUGGACCAUUUUUCUAACCGACUUUUCGCACGAAUGAAUUCGCCUUGGAAGAGAUAGGAAGUUCUUUCCCUCAUUUGCAGUCACAAAUCAAUUGUUUAUGAAUCACGAUGAGGGAUAAAAUAAAUCGAAAAAAAGGGAGAUAUUACAGAGAUUACGAAAGAGUACGCAACGGGAGCGCGAAAUUCAAAACAGAUUGAAGGAAGGAACUGCAAACGCCAUCAUUCGUCAGUGUCAGUACUUGUAAUGUAAAAAUCUCAAGCCGCUCACCGAGUGACUUUAGCAAUGGGUGAUGCAAACCAAAUUGAACUACAUAACAGCGUUACAAGAAUCCUGCCCUUUUUCUCAAUUGAUCGAUAUAAGCGUGUAUGCUUGUUGGUUGACAAUGGAAACGUUGUGACCUCCUCGUCGUCAGCGUGCAACAAUUCAUAAACUAAGUGAUCGAUUUAUUCUAAAGUAAGGGUAAUGACAACUAAACGAAGUGUUUCCUUGCGUAAAAAUGGCUUUUGGAAAACCUUGCAACGUACACGCUUAAAUACCGAUCGAGUUUGUGCUUGAAAUUGCCGCUAGAUAGCGCAACUCGACGAAACUGUUUUACCAUCGAAUACAAAAAGUCUGUUGGAUUCUCGCGACAUCUACAAAUGAUUAAUAACGGAUCAACUGUUUGAAAUGUCGUUGAGGUUAGAUUACCAAAUAUGUCCGCGUUUUUCUACGCAUACACGCGCGCGCUUACGCACGUGUACAAAUGCAUAUGUAUGCACAUAUGACAUGUGCGGAUAGUUGUGUAUCCGAUAACCACGAGAGAACGCAAAGAUAUAUUAUGUCACUUUCGCGUGUGACUUUUUAAAAACGUAUCAACGGUUUGCGCGUUACUACCGCGAGUCGAUUUCAAUCGAUUCCCGACAAGAAUUUUUUUGAGACCAUUUCUCUCUAAUACGAAAUGAACAUAUCUCGAACUUUACGACGAUUCAUAAAACAAGACCAUCGAUUCUGAAAUUUAUUGAAAAUAAAUACAACAUAUAUAUUCAUUCCA
This 1063-nucleotide long non-coding RNA is filed under the name Polistes fuscatus (common paper wasp). RNAcentral describes it as "uncharacterized LOC122520135". Lineage: Eukaryota; Metazoa; Arthropoda; Insecta; Hymenoptera; Vespidae. The record is from RNAcentral.